CAAUGUCUAUAUCCUGUUAGGUUUUGAUUUAAACAGAAACAGAUUAACUGUUUAGGCUAAUAGUGAAUUAUCUUUGUUUUCAGUUUUCAGAAUUUCACUGGUCCAGUUGACAAGAGAAAUUUAGGGCUUGAUGCACAACAUGUWGCAACACAUCCAAUAAUGGAACCAGCAAAGACAAAUAUAGUGCCCAACCCAUUGAUAAUCAUCAGACACAGGAAAAUGGCCUCAAUAGCACUGAUCCAGGAACAGUCUUCCACUGUAGAAAGAAGGUGACAAUGACAUGAAAAAGGUGGACAUAUAUUAUAACUUUCUAGACUUAGAUAGUGAUAGAGAGUGCAAAAUACAAAAGCCAACCAUAAAGCAUUGAUCUACAAUUUGUUGAGCUUGGAAUACAUUUCGAAAGAAACAAUAAAGUGGAUGCAGCAAAAUAUUAA
Exaiptasia diaphana is the source of this 434-nucleotide long non-coding RNA. RefSeq lists it as uncharacterized. The transcript is spliced from 2 exons. The record is from RefSeq and is a predicted model, not a curated record. NCBI's taxonomy places the organism in Eukaryota, Metazoa, Cnidaria, Anthozoa, Actiniaria, Aiptasiidae.